AGCAGCGUGGCCUAGUAGAUAGAGCGCGGACUUGGGAUUCAGAGGACCUGGGUUCUAAUCCCGGCUCUGCCA
Molecule: transfer RNA, 72 nt
Filed under: Ornithorhynchus anatinus (platypus)
Lineage: Eukaryota; Metazoa; Chordata; Mammalia; Monotremata; Ornithorhynchidae
Rfam family: tRNA
About the family: Transfer RNA (tRNA) molecules are approximately 80 nucleotides in length.
Source: Rfam by way of RNAcentral